UUUCUUCAGCUUUUUGGUUUC
This 21-nucleotide non-coding RNA is filed under the name Caenorhabditis elegans. Lineage: Eukaryota; Metazoa; Nematoda; Chromadorea; Rhabditida; Rhabditidae. The record is from RNAcentral.